UCCGUCGAUUUUCUAAAUCGUGAGGGUUCAAGUCCCUCUAUCCCCAAAAA
This 50-nucleotide transfer RNA is filed under the name Campanula macrostachya. Its description in RNAcentral is "partial tRNA-Leu". Lineage: Eukaryota; Viridiplantae; Streptophyta; Magnoliopsida; Asterales; Campanulaceae. The record is from RNAcentral.